GCGCCCAUAGUUCAAUUGGAUAGAGCGUCUGGCUUCGAACCAGAAAGUUACGGGUUCAAGUCCUGUUGGGCGUACCA
Molecule: transfer RNA, 77 nt
Filed under: Acholeplasmataceae bacterium
Lineage: Bacteria; Bacillati; Mycoplasmatota; Mollicutes; Acholeplasmatales; Acholeplasmataceae
Also listed under: 2 other names
Description: tRNA-Arg
Rfam family: tRNA
About the family: Transfer RNA (tRNA) molecules are approximately 80 nucleotides in length. Their secondary structure includes four short double-helical elements and three loops (D, anti-codon, and T loops).
Source: RNAcentral